AGAGUUUGAUCCUGGCUCAGGAUGAACGCUGGCGGCGUGCUUAACACAUGCAAGUCGAACGAACCUUCGGGUUAGUGGCGGACGGGUGAGUAACGCGUGAGAAUCUGCCCUCAGGAGGGGGAUAACGGCUGGAAACGGCCGCUAAUACCCCAUAUGCCGAGAGGUGAAAUGAAUUUCGCCUGAGGAUGAGCUCGCGUCUGAUUAGCUAGUUGGUGUGGUAAAGGCUCACCAAGGCAUCGAUCAGUAGCUGGUCUGAGAGGAUGAUCAGCCACACUGGGACUGAGACACGGCCCAGACUCCUACGGGAGGCAGCAGUGGGGAAUUUUCCGCAAUGGGCGCAAGCCUGACGGAGCAACGCCGCGUGAGGGAUGAAGGCCUCUGGGCUGUAAACCUCUUUUAUCAAGGAAGAAGAUCUGACGGUACUUGAUGAAUAAGCCACGGCUAAUUCCGUGCCAGCAGCCGCGGUAAUACGGGAGUGGCAAGCGUUAUCCGGAAUUAUUGGGCGUAAAGCGUCCGCAGGCAGUCUUGAAAGUCUGUUGUUAAAGCGUGGAGCUCAACUCCAUUUCAGCAAUGGAAACUAGAAGACUAGAGUGUGGUAGGGGCAGAGGGAAUUCCCGGUGUAGCGGUGAAAUGCGUAGAUAUCGGGAAGAACACCAGUGGCGAAGGCGCUCUGCUGGGCCAUAACUGACGCUCAUGGACGAAAGUCAGGGGAGCGAAAGGGAUUAGAUACCCCUGUAGUCCUGGCCGUAAACGAUGAACACUAGGUGUCGGGGGAAUCGACCCCCUCGGUGUCGUAGCCAACGCGUUAAGUGUUCCGCCUGGGGAGUACGCACGCAAGUGUGAAACUCAAAGGAAUUGACGGGGGCCCGCACAAGCGGUGGAGUAUGUGGUUUAAUUCGAUGCAACGCGAAGAACCUUACCAGGGUUUGACAUCCUGCGAAUCCCUUGGAAACUUGGGAGUGCCUUCGGGAGCGCAGUGACAGGUGGUGCAUGGCUGUCGUCAGCUCGUGUCGUGAGAUGUUGGGUUAAGUCCCGCAACGAGCGCAACCCACGUCUUUAGUUGCCAGCAUUAAGUUGGGCACUCUAGAGAGACUGCCGGUGAUAAACCGGAGGAAGGUGUGGAUGACGUCAAGUCAUCAUGCCCCUUACAUCCUGGCUACACACGUACUACAAUGCUACGGACAAAGGGCAGCAAACUCGCGAGAGCUAGCAAAUCCCAUAAACCGUGGCUCAGUUCAGAUCGUAGGCUGCAACUCGCCUACGUGAAGGAGGAAUCGCUAGUAAUCGCAGGUCAGCAUACUGCGGUGAAUACGUUCCCGGGCCUUGUACACACCGCCCGUCACACCAUGGAAGUUGGCCACGCCCGAAGUCGUUACUCCAACCCGCAAGGGAGGAGGAUGCCGAAGGUGGGGCUGAUGACUGGGGUGAAGUCGAAACAAGGUA
Molecule: ribosomal RNA, 1443 nt
Filed under: metagenome
Description: bacterial SSU rRNA
Rfam family: Bacterial small subunit ribosomal RNA
Source: RNAcentral